Molecule: ribosomal RNA, 428 nt
Filed under: uncultured bacterium
Lineage: Bacteria
Description: partial 16S ribosomal RNA
Rfam family: Bacterial small subunit ribosomal RNA
Source: RNAcentral
ACUAGGAAUUUUGCGCAAUGGGGGCAACCCUGACGCAGCGACACAGCGUGGAGGAGGAAGGUCUUCGGAUUGUAAACUCCUUUUAUAUGGGAAGAAUAGAUGACUGUACCAUAUGAAUAAGCACCUGCUAACUACGUGCCAGAAGCAUCGGUGAUGCGUAGGGUGCGAACGUUAUCCGGAUUUAUUGGGCGUAAAGAGAUGCGUAGGCGUUUCAGUUAGUCUUUCGUUAAAAGUCACGGCUUAACCGUGAAGAUGCGUUGGAUACUGCUGAAAUUGAGACAUGAAGGGGUGAACGGAACUCCAAGUGGAGCGGUGAAAUGCGUUGAUAUUUGGAAGAACAUCAGAGGCGAAGGCGGUUCACUGGUCAUUGUCUGACGCUAAGGCUCGAAAGCGUGGGUAGCAAAACGGAUUAGAAACCCUAGUAGUCC